RNAcentral lists this long non-coding RNA (309 nucleotides) under Androctonus crassicauda. The record is from RNAcentral. Lineage: Eukaryota; Metazoa; Arthropoda; Arachnida; Scorpiones; Buthidae.
UGAGCGAACCUAAACACGAUGCUUGCAGUUGAAGCUUAUAGUAGUGACGUGAAUAUUGACUGGGAGGGAGUAAGACAGAUAAAACCGCUUAUGGAUUAUACACGACCUGUCGUGACGGAAUCACUGGAAAUUCUGAAGAGGUUAGGUAGGGAAGAUAUUAUUAAUGAUAGCGUAGCAUGGGACCCUCCCCAAGCAUGGAAGUAUGUUGUCGAACUAUGGUCGGACACGCAAUAUUACUCCUAACGGAAGACCGGUAGAAAAUGAAAUGAGCAUAAGGAGUUCCUCGGCAUAGCCGGAACCAGGUUUGCG